UAGUCCACACCGUAAACGAUGAAUGCCAGUCGUCGGGUAGUAUACUAUUCGGUGACACACCUAACGGAUUAAGCGUUCCGCCUGGGGAGUACGGUCGCAAGAUUAAAACUCAAAGGAAUUGGACGGGGGCCUGAACAAGCGGUGGAGCAUGUGGUUUAAUUCGACGCAACGCGCAGAACCUUACCAGCCCUUGACAUGGGCACUAUGGUUUCAAGAGAUUGAUUCCUUCAGUUCGGCUGGGUGCCACACAGGUGUUGCAUGGCUGUCGUCAGCUCGUGUCGUGAGAUGUUGGGUUAAGUCCCGCAACGAGCGCAACCCUCGUCUUUAGUUACCAUCAGGUUAUGCUGGGGACUCUAAAGAAACUGCCGGUGAUAAGCCGGAGGAAGGUGGGGAUGACGUCAAGUCCUCAUGGCCCUUACGGGGCUGGGGCUACACACGUGCUACAAUGGCGAUGACAGUGGGGAAGC
RNAcentral lists this ribosomal RNA (467 nucleotides) under uncultured bacterium. RNAcentral's name for it is "bacterial SSU rRNA". It matches the Rfam family "Bacterial small subunit ribosomal RNA", at positions 791 to 1250 of the family's 1533-position model. The record is from RNAcentral.